RNAcentral lists this non-coding RNA (154 nucleotides) under Pseudomonas putida. Its description in RNAcentral is "FMN sequence". It matches the Rfam family "FMN riboswitch aptamer (RFN element)". Rfam says of the family: The RFN element is a highly conserved domain that is found frequently in the 5'-untranslated regions of prokaryotic mRNAs that encode for flavin mononucleotide (FMN) biosynthesis and transport proteins. Lineage: Bacteria; Pseudomonadati; Pseudomonadota; Gammaproteobacteria; Pseudomonadales; Pseudomonadaceae. The record is from RNAcentral.
CAACGUUCUCAGGGCGGGGUGCAAUUCCCCACCGGCGGUAAUUGCGCCCAGCGCGCAUAGCCCGCGAGCGCUUGCAGGCAAGGCUUUGCAAGGUCAGCAGACCCGGUGCGAUCCCGGGGCCGACGGUCACAGUCCGGAUAAAGAGAGAACGGGA